GAGAUCGGGAUAACACCUGGAAACAGAUGCUAAUACCGGAUAACAACAGAUGAUGCCUAUCAACUGUUUAAAAGAUGGUUCUGCUAUCACUCUUGGAUGGACCUGCGGUGCAUUAGCUAGUUGGUAGGGUAACGGCCUACCAAGGCGAUGAUGCAUAGCCGAGUUGAGAGACUGAUCGGCCACAUUGGGACUGAGACACGGCCCAAACUCCUACGGGAGGCAGCAGGC
This 228-nucleotide ribosomal RNA is filed under the name uncultured Lactobacillus sp. RNAcentral describes it as "partial 16S ribosomal RNA". It matches the Rfam family "Bacterial small subunit ribosomal RNA", at positions 134 to 354 of the family's 1533-position model. The record is from RNAcentral. Lineage: Bacteria; Bacillati; Bacillota; Bacilli; Lactobacillales; Lactobacillaceae.